RNAcentral lists this non-coding RNA (200 nucleotides) under Anoxybacillus sp. The record is from RNAcentral. Lineage: Bacteria; Bacillati; Bacillota; Bacilli; Caryophanales; Anoxybacillaceae.
UUGAAACCGACAAGUGAAGGUGUCCGAACGGACUUAAUAGGGAAUCUGGUGCGAAUCCAGAGCUGUCCCCGCAACUGUGUGCGCAGACGAAAUGGAAACAACACCACUGUAUAUGUCAGCUUUUCAGGCGCAUAUAUGGGAAGGAAUCCAAAGUAGGAAGAAGCGCGAGUCAGGAGACCUGCCUUCCUUGUAUCGUUUCA